RNAcentral lists this ribosomal RNA (501 nucleotides) under uncultured Oscillibacter sp. RNAcentral's name for it is "partial 16S ribosomal RNA". The record is from RNAcentral. Lineage: Bacteria; Bacillati; Bacillota; Clostridia; Eubacteriales; Oscillospiraceae.
CACGUAGUUAGCCGUGGCUUAUUCGACAGGUACCGUCUUCUGCUCUUCUCUGUCAAAAGAAGUUUACAACCCGAAAGCCUUCUUCCUUCACGCGGCGUUGCUGGGUCAGGCUUGCGCCCAUUGCCCAAUAUUCCCCACUGCUGCCUCCCGUAGGAGUCUGGGCCGUAUCUCAGUCCCAAUGUGGCCGGCCAACCUCUCAGUCCGGCUACUGAUCGUCGCCUUGGUAGGCCGUUACCCUACCAACUAGCUAAUCAGACGCGAGGCCAUCUCUCAGCGAUAAAUCUUUGGUAUCAAUGCCAUGCGACACAAAUACGUUAUGCGGUAUUAGCAGUCGUUUCCAACUGUUGUCCCCCACUGAAAGGCAGGUUCCUCACGCGUUACUCACCCGUCCGCCACUAAGCAGUCCUCUCCAUUGACCGAAAUCUCUUUCGAGGGUACUCCGUUCGACUUGCAUGUGUUAAGCACGCCGCCAGCGUUCGUCCUGAGCCAGGAUCAAACUCU